RNAcentral lists this ribosomal RNA (206 nucleotides) under uncultured bacterium. RNAcentral describes it as "partial 16S ribosomal RNA". It matches the Rfam family "Bacterial small subunit ribosomal RNA", at positions 568 to 774 of the family's 1533-position model. The record is from RNAcentral.
UGCGUAGGCGGUCUUGUAAGUUUGGUGUGAAAUCUCCCGGCUCAACUGGGAGGGUGCGCCGAAAACUGCAAGGCUGGAGUAUGGGAGAGGUAGGCGGAAUUCCUGGUGUAGCGGUGAAAUGCGUAGAUAUCAGGAGGAACACCUGUGGUGUAGACGGCUUACUGGACCAUGACUGACGCUGAGGCACGAAAGCGUGGGAGCAAACA